Molecule: transfer-messenger RNA, 375 nt
Filed under: Spirochaetaceae bacterium
Lineage: Bacteria; Pseudomonadati; Spirochaetota; Spirochaetia; Spirochaetales; Spirochaetaceae
Rfam family: transfer-messenger RNA
About the family: Bacterial tmRNA, also known as 10Sa RNA or SsrA, is named for its dual tRNA and mRNA-like properties. Its role is to liberate the mRNA from a stalled ribosome.
Source: RNAcentral
GGGGGUGCCCUGGUUUCGACGGGAGGAUUCGUAGUUCGUACUGCAGGUGGAGCGCCAACUCCUAAAACUAGCGCACAACUUUAAGUGCCAAAAACGAAGAUGAGAUCGUUGUCGAAUUCGACGGCGCCCUCGCCCUGGCUGCUUAAAUAGCAACCACGGAUCUCCAUCACGCUGUUCCGAGGGAUGGAUGCUCCGACACAAACCGGGACUUACCGUCGCGUCGGUCUGGAGUCGCGUAGGGACAUUUUUCCAGGAUAAGGCCCGGACGGUUGUCGACCGCCUAACCCGGACACGAAAAAUUAUCGGUUGACUAAACCUGUAGAUGUGCGGUUUGCGCCCUACCGGACGGGGGUUCGAUUCCCCCCACCUCCAGAA